UGGGGAAUUUUUCGCAAUGGGGGAAACCCUGACGAAGCAACGCCGCGUGGGGGAUGAAGGUCUUCGGAUUGUAAACCACUGUCGCGAGGGACGAAGCUCUGACGGUACCUCGAAAGGAAGCACCGGCUAACUCCGUGCCAGCAGCCGCGGUAAUACGGAGGGUGCGAGCGUUGUUCGGAGUUACUGGGCGUAAAGGGUGUGUAGGCGGUGCUCUAAGUGUGGUGUGAAAUCUCCCGGCUCAACUGGGAGGGUGCGCUACGAACUGGAGUGCUCGAGUGCGGGAUGGGAGAGUGGAAUUCCUGGUGUAGCGGUGAAAUGCGUAGAUAUCAGGAGGAACACCGGUGGUGUAGACGGCUCUCUGGACCGCAACUGACGCUGAGACACGAAAGCGUGGGUAGCAAACAGGAUUAGAUACCCUUGUAGUCCCUGAGCGGGCUGGCAAGGCGCAU
Molecule: ribosomal RNA, 449 nt
Filed under: uncultured bacterium
Lineage: Bacteria
Description: bacterial SSU rRNA
Rfam family: Bacterial small subunit ribosomal RNA
Source: RNAcentral